CAGGCUCCCCAACAAUUUAUUUCUUAAACUAAGUCUGUAAUACCAUUGUUACCUAUCUAGAAAUUCUGGAAGUUAAGACCUACAGAAAGUAAAUCUUG
Lontra canadensis (Northern American river otter) is the source of this 98-nucleotide long non-coding RNA. RefSeq lists it as uncharacterized. The transcript is spliced from 3 exons. Lineage: Eukaryota; Metazoa; Chordata; Mammalia; Carnivora; Mustelidae. The record is from RefSeq and is a predicted model, not a curated record.